UGCGUAGGCGGAUAUAUAAGUCAGCGGUGAAAUCCUGCAGCUUAACUGUAGUGAGCCGUUGAUACUGUGUAUCUUGAGAGUAGAUGAGGUAGGCGGAAUGUGUUGUGUAGCGGUGAAAUGCAUAGAUAUAACACAGAACACCAAUUGCGAAGGCAGCUUACUAAACUAUAUCUGACGCUGAGGCACGAAAGCGUGGGGAUCAAACAGGAUUAGAUACCCCUGGUAGUCC
This 229-nucleotide ribosomal RNA is filed under the name uncultured bacterium. RNAcentral describes it as "partial 16S ribosomal RNA". It matches the Rfam family "Bacterial small subunit ribosomal RNA", at positions 568 to 796 of the family's 1533-position model. The record is from RNAcentral.